GUUUGAGUCCCACUUUCGACCACUAGUUCGCAUUUGUUGUGCUUCCACUCUCAAUGCACGGCGAUGGGCAUCAUCAGUACUCAAGACAUCGAACAUCUCUACUUGGUUCAGGAUGUCCCGUCUCAAGCCAUUGAUAUAUCUACUAGCAACAUGAAUGGGUCCUCCCUAAGGUUGUUUCUUGCUUGGAGCUCAUGAACUCCUAGGUGUACUCAUCCACGGUCCUACGGAGGUUUGGGAAUUUCAAGUAGAGGUUUUGGCGAUAAUCCAAUGGGACAAAUUGCUUCCCCAACUUCUCCUUCAUUUUACUCGAGGUACGGAUCUUAUCCUUACCUUGCUGAACCCUUCGUUCCUGGAGUUGCUUCUACCAAACCAGUGCGUGUCCUUUUCAUUUGAGGGUCAUAAGUUUGACCUCUUUAUCCUCAGAAAUUUUCUUCUAAUCAAAAUAUUGGUCGAUUUGUCGACCCAAUCAAGGAAAGCAUCUGGCUGGAAAUGCCCCUCAAAAUCUCCAACAUC
Molecule: long non-coding RNA, 513 nt
Filed under: Phoenix dactylifera (date palm)
Lineage: Eukaryota; Viridiplantae; Streptophyta; Magnoliopsida; Arecales; Arecaceae
Description: long non-coding RNA (PDAC_LNC003609)
Source: RNAcentral